CUUGGGUAUCAGAGUUUAUUAAUUAAAUUUUUUUUUAUAAAAAAUUCUCGAAUUUAAAAGAGAGAAAUAAAUAAUAAAUUUAUUGUUGCAAAAAUAUUUUUAAUAUUUAUUUAGAAAUGAAAUGUUAAUCGUUUUUAAAGAUAUCUAGUUUUUUUAGAAAAAAAUUUAAUUUUAAAUUUUUAUUAUUAAUAAAUAAAUUGAUUUAUUUAUUAAAUAAAUUUUUUUAUAAUUUAAGGGAUAAGCUUUAAAUUAAAUUUUUAUAAUAAAUAAGUUUAAUUAAUAAAAAUUUUAUAAUUUAUAUUUUUAAUAAAUUUUAAUUUUUUAUAAAUAAUUUUAUUAAUAAAAAAAUUUCAUUUAAAAUUUAAUUUUUUAUAAAAAAAUAAUUUUUAAUUAAAUAAAAUUAGUUAUAAUGAUAAAAUUAGUACAUUGAUAAUUUAUAAUUAAGAUAAUAUAUUAAUUUAUAAAAAGGAAUUCGGCAAAAAUUUAUAUUUACCUGUUUAUCAAAAACAUGUCUUUUCGAUAAUAAUUAA
RNAcentral lists this ribosomal RNA (530 nucleotides) under Plutella xylostella (diamondback moth). RNAcentral's name for it is "partial 16S ribosomal RNA". Lineage: Eukaryota; Metazoa; Arthropoda; Insecta; Lepidoptera; Plutellidae. The record is from RNAcentral.